This is a long non-coding RNA of Oreochromis aureus, 388 nucleotides long. The record is from Ensembl. Lineage: Eukaryota; Metazoa; Chordata; Actinopteri; Cichliformes; Cichlidae.
AUAAUUUAUCUCUGUUUUCUCUUUUUGUUUCCAGGCAUAGUGUUAGACAUGGCCUCCAUUUUUGAGGAACACCAUCUGUGCCCCAGCAGUAGCCAGCUUUCAUCUGAGCAGUUUUGCAAUGCUGAAUGCAUCUUUGUACAGGAUGAAAACAAAUUUAUCUUCAACAAUAUUCAAACCAGCCAAGCUCGCUUCAAACCCGCCAACAGCAGCAAGUUCCCCUGUGUGCUCAUCUUAGCCAUCAAAAGUGUUGGGCCCAAGGCCAUUAAGGUUUGGAUCGGGAAAUGCCAAGCUAGAAUCGGAGUUUGAUCCGCUGAGCGAGAAACAAGAUGGCGAGCCACCCACGGACCCAUUGAACUGUACCGAGCAGGAAAAGGGAAAACCGCCCCUG